GAUGAACGCUAGCUACAGGCUUAACACAUGCAAGUCGAGGGACCGGCGCACGGGUGAGUAACACGUAUCCAACCUGCCCUUUACUCGGGGAUAGCCUUACGAAAGAAAGAUUAAUACCCGAUAUAAAGGCUGGGGAUGCGUUCCAUUAGGUUGUUGGUGAGGGAAUGGCUAACCAAGCCUUCGAUGGAUAGGGGUGCUGAGAGGAAGGUCCACCACAAUGGAACUGAGACACGGUCCAAACUGCUACGGGAGGCAGCAGUGAGGAAUAUUAGUCAAUGGGCGCUAGCCUGAACCAGCCAAGUAGCGUGAAGAAUGAAGGCUUUUGGGUCGUAAACUUCUUUUAUAGAAGAAGAUGUAUUAGAUGAAUAAGGAUCGGCUAACUCCGUGCCAGCAGCCGCGGUAAUUC
Molecule: ribosomal RNA, 406 nt
Filed under: uncultured bacterium
Lineage: Bacteria
Description: partial 16S ribosomal RNA
Rfam family: Bacterial small subunit ribosomal RNA
Source: RNAcentral